UGUAAAUCACCUCCUUGAACUUGAAAAUCAGAUAGCGUGAGAAGAUGGAUCCUUUCCUUUUCAAGAACCUACACAGCAAUUAUAACAUUAUUUAGCUUGUGCUUUGUUGUAUUAAUCUUAUAAAAUUUAUGUAUAUAUUUUCUUAUUUUCUCUUUGAAUAUAGUGCUCUUUUUGGGAUCCGUUUUCUUACCUUUCAAACCAUUCUUAAAUUUCGAUAAAAUAAUAUUGGUAAAGUUCCCCCUUUUAUCUUUUUAGAAAUAUAAAUAUCUCGUUCUAAUGAAUUUUGUUUGAUAUUAUAUUAAAUUUACAAGUUAGUAACUUUAAGUUGUCACUUUCUGGACCACUCAACACUUUUGGAAUAAACUGUACCAAUCUACUAAGAAUUACAUCAUUCCCUUUAUAUGUAGGAAACUAUACAUCCAUAUCUAACUAUAGGAUUUGGAAUUUUGGCAUUUGGAGUUCUAAUGAAUUUAUAUGCAUGAAAUCUAUGACAACAUGGACCAACCUAAGAAGAUUGCCAAUUUUACCCCUUAAGGCGUUGGAAUUUCGAAAUGUGACUCAGAGUUUGAAGAAACUAGACACACUAAGAUUCCAAAAUAAUAAGUCUCAUGAGUUUUAGGUGUUCUUAUUGACUGGCAUGAAUUUUAGAAGUUGGAGGACAGAUUUGGAAAAAUUGAUCAUAAUAGCUUUUAAAUCACUUUUGGUGUUCUAUUAAGAACUUAAUGGUUAAGCCUAAAUUUUAUCACUUUUUAUAUGAUUGUUGUUUACUUAUUAGGCUAUGGAGAUAUGAAAUUCAAUUUAACCUAAGGGCCUUAAUGCAUGCAUAUUUAUAGACAUUCUUUAUUUUGUGAACAUAAGUUGUUUAGUAGAUUAGUUCCUCCUCCUUAGCAAUUAGAGAAACUUCUAUAAGAUGGAACAACAAAGAAACUAAUAUAUUUUUAUCUUCUAGUAUUGAUCCAUCACCAAAUAUUUUUUUUAGAGAAAGUAGCAUUGGUUCAAGUCUAGUUGAUGCAAAAUGAAUAACAAAAAGAAUAAAAGAUACCUACAUAGAUUUGUGAUGCCACCGACCACUCUUUGGCAAGCAAAAUGUAAUUCAUCCAAAAUCACACACUUUUUUAAACAGGUCCUUGCAAAGCUUUUUGUCAUUGUCAAAUCAGCCCCUACUUAAUAAAAAAUUCUAAAAAGACUUUCAUCAAACAGUUGGUGUGCAACACAAAAAAACUCCACCUCUAUGUGAAGUAUCAGUGUAUCAUGAUCCCAUUUUCAUUCCAACACACAAAUUUGGUGACUAGUGAAACGAGAUUGAUGAGGAUAAGAGAGGGGGCGGUUUCCGAUGACUUGGUUUUCCGACGAGUUGAUUUUAUGGCCUUAUGUUUCAGAUCUGGUGAAAUCAAAUCUGGUGGCUGAUGAAACAAGAUGAGAGAAGAAAAGAGAGUGAGGUGGUUGCUGACAAGGUGGUUUCACGACUGAUUCAAGGAGGAGGCUUAGGGCGGCGUUUCAGGAAGAGGAAAGGCGGAGAAAGCUUAUUUCCGACGAGAAUAUGAGUGGAGAUGGAGGGAACCGCUAGAUCAGGAGAAAAGGGAGAGGAAACAGUUAGCUGAUUCAGGCGCUGGUCCGACGAUUCUGACGAUGGACAGUGACUCUAGUAAUGGUCAUGUUGUCUUAAUAGGUGGUGCAAGUUAAAAAGAGGUUGAGAGACGUCAUAGUGGGGUGGGGGGUUUUGUAUUAGUCUAAUUAAAAAUGUUUUCAAAUGUUCUCAUUUGAACAUACCCAUAUAUAUAUANNNNNNNNNNNNNNNNNNNNNNNNNNNNNNNNNNNNNNNNNNNNNNNNNNNNNNNNNNNNNNNNNNNNNNNNNNNNNNNNNNNNNNNNNNNNNNNNNNNNNNNNNNNNNNNNNNNNNNNNNNNNNNNNNNNNNNNNNNNNNNNNNNNNNNNNNNNNNNNNNNNNNNNNNNNNNNNNNNNNNNNNNNNNNNUAUAUAUAUAUAUAUAAGUUCAAAUGAGAACCAUUAAAAGUUAAUAACUGUAAGAACCAUUUUUUUUAGGUUAUUAUUAAAAGUAUUUUAGUUGAUUCUAAUUAUUUGAUUAUUUUUAUGUUUUGAUAAAUGGAAAAAAACAAUAAGGGCUUGAUGGUAAUUUUGACAAAUUAAACUUAAAACUCAUUGUUAUGUAUCAGAUGUCAAACACUCAAGCCCUCAAACUCUUUCAAACUCUCUCACCAAACUUGAAGAACACACCAACCUUACCACCACCUACCACCAACCACUACCGCACCAUUGAUGUACCGUCGACAUGUCGUCACCGCACCACCACUGCUGCCGCCUCCUACCAUUGGUUAACCACUUCCAUCUGAUUUGUAUGCACCAAACGAUUCCAGAUCUACAUUUUCAGCUUCAGAUCCACGAUUAUCGCCACUAGAUCUAUGAUUUUCUGUUCCAUAUCUACAAGUGCCGACAAGCAACGAGGAUCCACCACUAUCGUUAACGAUCACCACCGUUGUUGUCGCCAUCCUCCGAUCUCUAGUGAAACAUCAUCAGAUCUGCCGGCUCCUACUAUUUCUCUCCCUCCUUCUCAUCCUCUCUGAUAUUUGGUGAAAAACUACUAGAUCAUAUGCAAAUAUGAUGUGUUUCAGGUUACAUCUCAAGUGAAACAUUACCGUCUACGUCGCAGUAGAUCUUACUCACACUAGAUCUAUCAUCUUUGUUUCCUCCACUACAAGAUUAGAAUUUGUCUGGUCCAGAUCUAUGGUUUUCGCUACCAAAAAUGUCCAGAUCUAUGGUUUUCGCUACCAAAAAUGUCCAGAUCUGCGAUUUUUGUCAACAACAAUGUCCAGGUCUACAAGCUCCAAUAGGAUCUGGUUUCAUUUUCUUCAAAUCUUAGAUUUGGUGAAACACCGCCAACUUGUCUCCAUCUAUUUCUCUCCGAUCUCUGGUGAAACACCACCAGAUCUGCAUCAGGUAUGUCAAUUUUUGUGUUGAUUGUUUUUCCUCUUGUUAAGCUGUGAAUUUAAUGUUUUAAUCUCUUUUUUGUUGUUUACUUUUCUUAAUAUUAGUUUUAACUACUAUUAAGUUGUGAAUCUAAUGUUAUUAAUACAUGAAUCCAACUUUGGGCUCUUAUUUGUUAUGAUACUUGCAUAUAAUUUUUGUUCAUAGCUUAGGUUUUGUAGUUGUUAUUUUGUGAAUUGAAUUUAGAAUGUGUUAUAAUGCUAAUAUAACAUCCGUAUUCCCAGGUAUCUUAUUUUAAUUAUAUAUCUUAAGUUUUAGGGAGGGAAUCGGCGAGUAGGCGCUCAGACUCGCCGAGCAGGAUCGUGAAUUCUAUCCGAAUUAAUGAUCGGACUCGACGAGUCGAUGAGUGGACUCGGUGAUUCCGUGCUGUUAAGUGAAACCCUAAAUCUCAGGGCCUGGACCCUAUUUAAAGGCCCUUAUGGCCGCCAUUUGUGGCCAUUACUCCCCUGUGAAAACCCUAGAGAGCAAAGAGAGCUUAGAGAGCAUUUUGGAGGCUAAUUCUUCAUCCUUUGGUAUGAUCUUGCAAGAAGGAGUGGGGAUAUAUCCAAGCUAGAUCGAUUGUGGAGCUUGGAUCUAUGUUGUUCACGCUGAGAUUCAUGUUUUGAGGUACAAGUUUCUUCCCAUUUCGUGUAUUUGAUAGAUUCCUUGAAUCUAAGAUUUCCUUUGUGCCAUUUGGAGUUGGAUAGUGAAGCAUUUGAGGUCCCUUUGGGUAUAGAUGAUAGAUCUGGACCUUGAGAGGUCCAAAAGGUCCCAAGCUUCCAGCUUUAUGAGGUUUCAUGUGAGCCUUGAGAGUUGAACCCCAUUUUUAAAGUUAUUUCUCCAUUUUUGGCUUUAUAAGCAUUGCAUGAACGUAAAGUUUGAACCUUUAUGUCACUUUUGAGUGAUAUGAGUAUAGAUCUACUGGUUGGUGAAGCAGAUCUGACCUCAAAGGAUCGUUUGAGUGUUUUCAAGGGAGAAACUCGUCGAGCCCAUAAGGGACUCGACGAGUCGAGUCGGGUUGCCCCGCGAUUCGCGACCUGUGAUGACCCGUUGAGUAUAGGGUUGACUUAGCGAGUCGAGUGAGGACCAUGGGCGAAGAGGACAUGCAGGGACACGCCGAGUCGCACGAGUGCACUCGACGAGUCUGGUCAAAGUUUGACCGUUGACUUUUGUUGACUUUUAGGGUUUGGUCAACGAUCGAACUUGUGGACCAUUUGAAGGGUAAAAUGGUCUUUUAGCCUUCUUUGGGCUCAUGGAAAAGACUAGUCUAGCCUGGAGAGCCGUUAUUGAUUUGAGAUAAUUGUCUAUGUUUUUAGGCGAAGGCUAGAUCAGUUGAUACGUGUGCGAGAUUAUCCGAGAUAGCCGAGGUGAGUCUUCUCACUAUACUGUACCUGGAAGGGUACCUAUGUGUGACCAAAAGGUCUUAUACGUGCUAUAUAUGUUGAUAUGUGUUAUGUAUGCUAUGUAUGAAAAGGACCAGAAGGUCAAGAUGAUAUGGACCGGAAGGUCAAGAGGACAUGGACCGGAAGGUCGGGAGGUUACGGACCGGAAGGUCGAUACGGGUGGGACCGAAAGGUCUACCGGGAUUUGGGAUGGAAGUCCCCUGAGACACUUGGACCGGAAGGUCCCACAGAGUUAUGGCAUGGGAAGGCGUAUGUGUUAUAUGUGGUAUUUUGGGGAAGUCACUAAGCAUUUAUGCUUACAGUUGUUGUGUUGGGUGUUUCAGGUACUAGUGAGGACCGUGGGAAGGCGCCGUCAUGAUCCGUACACACUGAGAGGAUUUAUGUAGUUGAGAUAUUUUGAGAUUAUGGGAUUUGUUUAUUAUGAGGAUAUUGGAUACAGUUGUUGGAUAUUGUUUUUGGUGAUUGAAAAUAUGAUUUAAAAAUGAAAAUUUGUUUUGAAAAUUUACGUCGUUACAAGUUGGUAUCAGAUCCUUGGUUUGAGGGAUUCGGGUGCAUCUUCGGGUGUAUCUGAACUCAAGCUGAGGGUUUGAGAAAGUUUUUCAUAAAAUAAACAAUUUUUCCAAAAGAGUAGAAGAUUUUGAGAAAAAUAGAAAGGAGCAGUGUGUACGAUCAGCCAGCGCCCGAACGUUGAUUUCCCAAAAUACCCUUACAUUAUGUGUUAUGAGAUAUGUUAUGAUAUGAUAUGCAUGCUAGAGUAGGCUAGGUAUUCAUAUUAGGACUAGAGUGGCCUAAUUUGUGAUGCCUUGGCCUAGGAAGAUUUCUGCUGCUAUUAGAUGCUUGAGAGUGAGUAGGUAGCAGUAGGGAGAUUAUGAGAGGUCUACCGAAGGGUAGCCUGUGCCAGCGAUAUAUAAAGUACUUUUGAACUAAGAUCCAAGGAGGAGGACUUGGGGUGAAUAUUGAUGCGGUGUGGAUUGUAGUAUAAGGGCCCGUACUACCGAAGACACCGUAUCAGUACGCAGUCCAAGUAAGAAUCCUUAGGGUACUAGGGGAACAAGUAGGGUUGUGUUAUCGAGUGCGAGUAUGCUCGAGCGAAUCUCUGAUAUUUUAUGUUGUAUUUCAGAGAGACAUCAUGGUUGGGACACGCCACACACCUGAGAGCAGUGGUGUUAGCGAUGAGGAGAUCCGCAGGUUGAUUCAUGAGGAGGUGGUUGCGGCCAUCCGAGCUGAGAUACCAGAGAUGUUCGGGUCUAUCAAGACCACGUUGAUCGAGACUUUUGAUGAGCGGUACGCGGUAGUGACUGAGGUUGCGGCUGCUGCAGCUGUGGCUGCUACCAUGCCUCAGGGAGGUGACUCGUUGUUGUUUCGGGAGUUCAGCAACACGAAGCCACCGGAGUUUGAUGGGACACAAGACCCGAUCGCUGUGAUGAGAUGGAUUUCUGACAUCAAGGGAUGCUUCUAUACGUGUUCAUGUCCGGAGCAUCUGAGGGUACGAUUCACGUUGAACCAGCUUUGCUUGGGAGCGAAGGACUGGUGGAAGUUCGUGACGGCGAGGUUCACUCUUGCAGAGAUUUCAGAGGUGACCUGGGAGAGGUUCACCAACAUGUUCAGAGACGAGUAUGUUCCCCCAGUGGAGAGGGAACGGUUGGCUCAGGAGUUCUUGACCCUUAAGAAGGGUACUGAUUAUGUUACUAUGGUUACCAGGAAGUUUCAUAAGAGGGCGAUGUUCUGCCCUGAGCAGGUGUCUACUGAGCAGACACGCAUGAGCCGGUAUUUGGGCAUUUUGAGGAGGGAUAUUCGGGAGUUCGUAUCAAACUCGACUUACCAGACAUUUUCUGAGCUCCAGGCAAAUGCCCGGAAGAGGGAGAUUGAGUUGGAGACUCAGGCCAAGGGGGAGGCCGAGUCUCGGGGGAUGGAUCGACGGCUGGCACAGUCUCAACCGGCAACCAAGCGGGCAAAGCCCGCCGAUUCGAGAUCUGGAGGCCAGAAGGGACGCACUUGUGGAAAGUGCGGCAAGGGUCAUGAGGGGGUCUGUCGAUCAGGUACUUGCUACAAAUAUGGAAAGGAGGGGCAUAUAGCCAAGGAUUGCCCCAAGGGAUUCAUGGUUUGUUUUCAUUGCGAUCAGACGGACCACCGGAAGGCCAAGUGUCCGCAGCUGCAAGGGACAUCACAGGGAGCACAAUAGGGAUCUGCCAUUGCCGCCGUGCGAGCUAUUGAGGUUCGACCGGUGAAGGCCGAGGCACCGAAGGCUCGUGGGAGAGCCUUCCAGUUGACAGCGGAGGAGGUCCGUGUAGCGCCCGAUGUCGUGGCUGGUAUGUAUUCUUUCAUUUAUUUAUGUUGAGUUUAAGGUGUUGUGCCUAUAUCAUGAUAUGCGUAGGUACUUUUCUUGUGAAUUCUGUACCUGCUUUGGUGUUAUUUGACUCGGGUGCGAGUCGGUCAUUUAUUUCCUUAGCGUUUAGUCAGCACAUUAGUAUCCGACGAGAGGCUUUGAGUCGACCUCUGCAAGUUUCUAUAGCUGACAAGCGAGUAGUGUAUGCUACGGAUGUGAUUCGAGGAUGUGUACUUGAGAUCUUCGGUGUGGAGUUCUCGAUAGAUCUGCUCCCGAUUGCAAUGGGGGACGUGUGUGUCAUAGUGGGUAUGGAUUGGUUGAGCCGAUUUGGGAAUGUUAUAGACUGCGAGUGACAGUUGGUGACGAUACGAGACCCCAGUGGGGGAGUACUUACGGUGUACGGCGAGGGUACCCGAUGUGGGUCAGCAUUUUGUUCGGCUACCAGGGCGAGGUAGAGUUUACAGCAGGGCUGCAGCGGGUUUUUAGCCUAUGUGAUGGACACACAAGUGGCCGCUGGGAGGCCAAGUUCGAUUGAUGAGGUUCCAAUAGUGCGCGAGUACCCGGAUGUUUUUCCCGAGGAGUUACCGGGUGUGCCUCCCGAGAGGCAGGUAGAGUUCCGUAUCGAUCUGGUUCCGGGGGCAGCGCCUAUCGCCAAGGCGCCAUAUCGCCUUGCGCCGUCGAAGAUGCAGGAGUUAUCCUCGCAGCUUCAGGAGCUGUUGGGGAAUGGGUUUAUUAGACCGAGUAGCUUACCAUGGGGAGCGUCGGUCCUUUUUGUCAAGAAAAAUGAUGGUUCACACCGGAUGUGCAUUGAUUACCGGGAGUUGAACAAGUUGACGGUCAAGAACCGUUAUCCUUUACCGAGGAUCAACGAUUUGUUCGAUCAGUUGCAAGGAGCGUCUCGGUUCUCCAAGAUUGAUCUGAGGUCGGGAUAUCAUCAGAUGAGAAAGCAGGAUGAGAAUAUCCAGAAGACGGCGUUCAGAACUCGUUAUGGGCAUUACGAGUUCGUGGUGAUGCCUUUUGGGCUCACCAAUGCACCGGCAGCGUUCAUGGAUCUCAUGAACAGGGUGUGCAGGCCGAUGCUGGAUCGGUCGGUGAUUGUGUUCAUUGAUGAUAUUUUGGUGUAUUCAAGAUCUAGAGAGCAGCACGAGGAGCAUCUGAGAGAGAUUCAUAGGGUAUUGAGGUCAAAGAGGCUUUAUGCCAAAUUCUCCAAGUGUGAUUUUUGGUUACGAGAGGUCCAAUUCUUGGGACACCUCGUUAACCAGAAUAGGAUUUUGGUCGAUCCGGCCAAGAUUGAGGCGGUUAUGAGGUGGGAGGUGCCGAGAUCACCCACCGAGAUCAGGAGUUUUCUAGGAUUGGCCAGCUAUUAUCAGAGAUUUAUCAAAGAUUUCUCCAAGAUCGUCGUGCCUCUCACCAGGUUGACCCGGAAGGGUGCUGCUUUUUCAUGGGGUCUGGAGCAGUAGACCUCGUUUGAGACACUUUGCCAGAGAUUGUGCGAAGCCCCGGUGCUAGCCCUCCCGGAAUGGAUGGAGGAUUUUGUGGUGUAUUGUGACGCAUCGAUAUUGGGGUUGGGUGCAGUACUUAUGCAGAGGGGGCAUGUGAUAGCGUAUGCAUCGAGGCAGCUGAAGCCUCAUGAGACGAGGUAUCCUACCCACGAUUUGGAGUUGGGGGCAGUAGUGUUCGCCCCCAAGAUCUGGCGUCACUAUUUGUAUGGGGUUCGGUGUACCAUUUACACGGACCGCAAGAGUUUAAAGUAUUUGAUGGACCAGCCCAAUCUGAAUAUGCGCCAGAGGAGAUGGUUAGACGUGGUAAAGGAUUACGAUUGUGAGAUCCUGUACCACCCAGGCAAGGCUAAUGUCGUAGCUGAUGCCCUGAGCCGUAGGGCAGAGAGCGCCUCGAUUCGAGACAUUUGUAUGCGAUUGACAGUGAUGACUCCGGUGUUGGACGCCAUUCGGGAGGCCCAGGCAGAGGCCAUGAAACCGGAGAACUAUAAGAGGGAACGGGUGAUUGGGCAGGUAUCGGAGUUCAUUACCGAUAGUCGCGGGCUUAUGACCUUUCAGGGUCGGAUUUGGGUGUCGUAUGCAAGCGGGGCACGCACCACUUUGAUGUAGGAGGCGCAUAGAUCGAGAUUUUCGAUCCAUCCCGGGGCCACUAAGAUGUAUUUGGAUCUGAAGAAAGAUUAUUGGUGGCCCUAUAUGAUGAGGGAUGUAGCAUGGUUUGUUGAGAGGUGCUAAACCUGUAGCAGGGUUAAGGCCGAGCACCAGUGUCCGCAUGGCAUGUUGCAGCCACUUGAGGUUCCCCAAUGGAAGUGGGAACAUAUUUCUAUGGAUUUCAUCACCAAGUUGCCAAGGACCAUGAGGGGUGUCGACGCGAUUUGGGUGAUCGUUGACCGGCUGACGAAGAGCGCUCACUUUCUUGCUAUUAGUGAGAGCUUUUCUGCUGAGAGGCUGGCAGAGUUGUAUGUGAGGGAGGUGGUAUCACGGCAUGGAGUGCUGAUCUCGAUUGUAUCAAAUCGGGAUGUACGUUUCACUUCCAGGUUCUGGAAGAAGUUCCACGAGGAAUUAGGCACGAGGCUGCAUUUCAGUACCGCUUACCACCCUCAGACGGACGGACAAAGAGAGCGAACGAUUCAGACGCUCGAGGACAUGCUUCGGGCCUGUGUGUUGGACUUCGGAGGGAGUUGGGACACGUAUUUGUCGUUGGCUGAGUUUACCUAUAACAACAAUCACCAUUCGAGCAUUGGUAUGCCUCCCUUCAAGUUGAAGUAUGGGAGGAGGUGUCGGACUCCCAUCUGUUGGGGAGAGGUAGGGCAGCGAGUGAUGGGUAGCACUAAGAUAGCGCUUCAGACAACAAAGCAGAUACAACAGGUCAGGCAGAGGUUGUUGACAACUCAUAGUCGUCAGAAGAGUUACGCGGAUAGGCGACGAUCCGGUUUCAGGUCGGAGACUUCGUACUCCUGAAAGUGUCUCCUUGGAAAGGAGCGAUUCGAUUCAGGAAGAGAGGCAAGCUGGGGCCCCGGUAUAUUGGGUCGUUCUGGGUGACAGCACGAGUGGGCAGGGUAGAUUAUCGGUUAGAGCUACCUGCAGAGUUGAGUCAGAUACAUGAUACCUUCCACGUGUCUCAGCUGAGGAAGUCUAUAGCCGACGAGUCAGCGGUGGUACCAUUGGAGGAUAUUCAGGUGGAUGCGAGCCUGAAUUAUGUUGAGAGGCCAGUCGAGGUGGUAGAUCGGAAGAUCAAGGUUUUGAGAAACAAGGAAGUGUCAUUGGCUCUGAUUCAGUGGUAGCAUCGAAAAGGAUCUGAGCUGACCUGGGAGCCGGAGGCGGAGAUGCGGAAGCUUCAUCCAGAGCUGUUUGUAGAAUGAGAGUUCGGGGGCGAAGUCUGUUUCUAGUGGGGGAGAAUUGUAACAUCCGGAUUCCCAGGUAUCUUAUUUUAAGUAUAUAUCUUAAGUUUUAGGGAGGGACUUGGCGAGUAGGCGCUCAGACUCGCCGAGCAGGAUCGUGAAUUUUGUCCAGAUUAAUAACCGGACUUGACGAGUUGAUGAGUGGACUCGGCGAGUCCGCACUAUUAAGUGAAACCCUAAAUAUCAGGGCCUGAGCCCUAUUUAAAGGCCUUUAUGGUUGUCAUUUGUGGCCAUUACUCCCCUGUGAAAACCCUAGAGAGCAAAGAGAGCUUAGAGAGCAUUUUGGAGGCUAAUUCUUCAUCCUUUGGUAUGAUCUUGCAAGAAGGAGUGGGGAUAUAUCCAAGCUAGAUCGAUUGUGGAGCUUGGAUCUAUGUUGUUCACGCUGAGAUUCAUGUUUUGAGGUACAAGUUUCUUCCCAUUUCGUGUAUUUGAUAGAUUCCUUGAAUCUAAGAUUUCCUUUGUGCCAUUUGGAGUUGGAUAGUGAAGCAUUUGAGGUCCCUUUGGGUAUAGAUGAUAGAUCUGGACCUUGAGAGGUCCAAAAGGUCCCAAGCUUCCAGCUUUAUGAGGUUUCAUGUGAGCCUUGAGAGUUGAACCCCAUUUUUAAAGUUAUUUCUCCAUUUUUGGCUUUAUAAGCAUUGCAUGAACGUAAAGUUUGAACCUUUAUGUCACUUUUGAGUGAUAUGAGUAUAGAUCUACUGGUUGGUGAAGCAGAUCUGACCUCAAAGGAUCGUUUGAGUGUUUUCAAGGGAGAAACUCGUCGAGCCCAUAAGGGACUCGACGAGUCGAGUCGGGUUGCCCCGCGAUUCGCGACCUGUGAUGACCCGUUGAGUAUAGGGUUGACUUAGCGAGUCGAGUGAGGACCAUGGGCGAAGAGGACAUGCAGGGACACGCCGAGUCGCACGAGUGCACUCGACGAGUCUGGUCAAAGUUUGACCGUUGACUUUUGUUGACUUUUAGGGUUUGGUCAACGAUCGAACUUGUGGACCAUUUGAAGGGUAAAAUGGUCUUUUAGCCUUCUUUGGGCUCAUGGAAAAGACUAGUCUAGCCUGGAGAGCCGUUAUUGAUUUGAGAUAAUUGUCUAUGUUUUUAGGCGAAGGCUAGAUCAGUUGAUACGUGUGCGAGAUUAUCCGAGAUAGCCGAGGUGAGUCUUCUCACUAUACUGUACCUGGAAGGGUACCUAUGUGUGACCAAAAGGUCUUAUACGUGCUAUAUAUGUUGAUAUGUGUUAUGUAUGCUAUGUAUGAAAAGGACCAGAAGGUCAAGAUGAUAUGGACCGGAAGGUCAAGAGGACAUGGACCGGAAGGUCGGGAGGUUACGGACCGGAAGGUCGAUACGGGUGGGACCGAAAGGUCUACCGGGAUUUGGGAUGGAAGUCCCCUGAGACACUUGGACCGGAAGGUCCCACAGAGUUAUGGCAUGGGAAGGCGUAUGUGUUAUAUGUGGUAUUUUGGGGAAGUCACUAAGCAUUUAUGCUUACAGUUGUUGUGUUGGGUGUUUCAGGUAGUAGUGAGGGUCGUGGGAAGGCGUCGACAUGAUCUGUACACACUAAGAGGAUUUAUGUAGUUGGGAUCUUUCGAGAUUAUGGGAUUUGUUUAUUAUGAUGAUACUGGAUACAGUUGUUGGAUAUUGUUUUUGGUGAUUGAAAAUAUGAUUUAAAAAUGAAAAAUUGUUUUGAAAAUUUACGUCGUUACAACUAAUGUUUUCUCAAAUAAUGUGAAUCUAGGUUUUCUAAGUUAUGAAUUGUGAUGUUUAAAUUUUUUAUUAAUUUUUUAGUCAUGUUAAUGUUAGUUUUAAAUGCUAUGAACAAGAAAAUAUUAGUUUUAUGUUUUGAAUACAUGGUUUUUUUACAAGUUUAAGUUGUGAAUAUAUGAUUUUUUAUAAGUUUUAAGCUCUGAAUGCAUGUUUUAUAUUUAUUUUCUACUUACAUCUAUUAUAGAUCUCUACCAUACAUUUUUUUGAUCGUUUUUUUCUUCUGUUAAGGUGUGAAUUUAAUGUUUUAAUCUCUCAUUUGUUAUUUAUUUUAUAAUCUUAGUGUUAACUGCUAUUAAGAUGUGAAUUUUCUGUUUAAACUGUGAAUUGACUAUAUAAGAUGUGAAAUUUGUGAAUUAAAUUGUUCGUUUAUUGUAUUAAGUUGUAAAUUUUGGGUUAGUUUAAACUAUGAAUUAAUUGUAUUAAAAGUGUUAAGUUGAUAAUAUGGUUGUGAAUGCAUACUUUUUGUGUAUUCAACUGAGAUUUAUAGUAUUAAGUUAUGAACUUUGUAUAUUAAGAUGUGAUUUGUGUGUUUUAAAUUGUGAAUUGACUGUAUUAAGUUAUGAAUUUUGUGUAUUAAACUAUGAUUUUGUGUUUUAAACUAUGAAUUGAAUGCAUUAAGCUAUUAAUUUUCUAAUUAAAUUAUUAACUGACCUUAUUAAGUUGUGAAUUUUGAAUGAAAUUAGUAUUAAAAUAUAUAUAAAUGAUUUAUAUAUGAAUGUUUUGUAAUAAUUUUCUUGUGAAUAUAUUUAUUUUUUGUGUUUUAUACAUAUUUAAGAAUGUAUUACUUUUUAUAAUUAAUUUGUAUUAAAUUCUAAAUAAGUAAAUUGUUUUGUUUAUUAAAUUAUGAAUAUAAUAUUUAAGCUGUCAUUUAAUGAUUUUAUAUAUACAGAUCUGAUUUGGAAUGAAUGAUGAUUGUGACGGCGGCACAUGUGGUUGGUGGUGGCGUGUGUUAGUUUGAGUUUGACUUCUUUAAAUAUGUAAAGUAGUGUAGAAUAUAUUGUAUUAUGUUAUGUUGUGAAUUUUAUCUAUUAAACUAAAACGAACUUUAUUAAGCUGUAUAUUUUAUACAAAUUUUAUGUUAAAAUAUGAAUGAAUGUAUGUACGAAAAUAUUAAACUAUGUAUUAAUGAAUUAAUAUCUUUAUUAGAAUGUGAAUAUGAUAUUCUAAACUGUAAAUAUAUGUUAUACACGACACAUUUUUUUUUAAAUAAAUCUACAACUUAGAAAAAAAAAUGAAUUUGUCAAGGCAUAGUUUUAUUUUUUUAUUAAAAUUUUGUAUAUUUGGGUGCAAAAACGAAAUUUUAUAUGUUAAAAAUAUUACCAAAAAAAUGAAAGUUACAAUGUUUGUUCUACUAAACUGUUAAUACAAGUUGAAAAUGUCAUUGAACUUGGUGUUAAUCCAACGAUGGUCCGACAGCUGUUCUACAACAGAUGACAACUAGUUGUAAAUUACGGAAUGAAAAUGUUUUCUUAAUAUAAUAUUUAUGUUUGAUGUCUAUAAAAUUCCCUAAAUGAAAACAUUUAAAAAAAAUGGUUUUGAANUAAACCACGGUUGGUACAUUUAAAAUUAUUAUAAACAAAAUAUGUUUUUAUUUAUUUUCCACCACAUAAAUGACAUUUCCAAAAAGUAGAAUGUCAUAUAAAGAAAUGUUUUUAUUUAUUUAUUUUCCAAUCUAUGUUCGAAAUAUUCACAAAAAACAAUAUAAUUUUAAGAUGUAGAAUGUUAUAAAUGAUAGUUUUUCAGAAAUUAAAAUACUAUAAAAGAAAAUUUUGCUUAUUAUUUUCCACUCUUUGUAGAAAAUCCUCAAAAAGAGGCCGUUUUACAAAGUGUGAUGCUAUAAAUGAUAAUUUCCAGAAAGUAGAAUGUUAUACAAGAAUUUUUUUUUUUUAAUUUUCCACUCCAUGUCGAAAUCUUAGAAAAAAAAACCAUUUUAGAAAAUAUAACACAAUAAAUGACAUCGAAAUAGAAUUUUGUUUUGCACUUGAGACUUGAGACCCAUGAUGAUAUUCAACUAUUAAAAAAACCCAAUUUUUUCUACUAUUUUCUACAAAUGAAAUUAGCAAAGUACAUUGGUAAAACCAUACAAAACCAAUUUUCAAAGAUUCCAACUUUCAUCAUUUCUAAAUACAACUUUCUAAAAAAAAUCUUUAUUUAAGAUGAAAGCCCAAGUUUUAUCAAAAACACCAAUGUAGAUCCAAAGUACAUUGCUAAAACCGUAAAAAGAAAAAAAAAAUCUCCAAGCGACUUCUAAUACCCCCAUUUCCAAUAAUCUGCUAAACUACAACAGGAAUAGAAAAUUAAAAUUUUAAAAUUGUAUAAAGCCAAAAAUAAGAAAACCCAAUUUCAAACUUUAAAAAAAAAACAAAUUUCCAAAAAAAAAUUGAACCAAAAAACUCAUUUUUUUAAAUAGCAUAAAUUUGAAUCUUAGUCUCAUUUGAAUCUUAAUCAUCUGUUUGGGUCCUUCAGUUGGAUUGGUGAGAAUAAGUUUGACAAUUGUCAUUAUAAAGUUUUCAUUUCAAAUGUGUCAUGUUUAGGUUUGUUAUAAAACAAACAAUUAUAUUAUAAUCAACCGGUUCUAAUAAAUAAGGAAAUCAAAAGAAGUUACAUUAAUUCCUAAUUGUCAUAUUAAAUUUAGACACUUAAACGUAAAACAAAUUUUGAGGUAACUAUUUUAUAAAAUUCCCUUAUAUCAUAUAUUUAUAGAUUAAUUGUUCAAACUAAAAUGGAACUUAUAGAAAAAAACAUACCAAGUAACUUACUUGAGUUUCUUUGCACCUGCACAUUUAAAAGAGACAUACCAUCAUUCAAAGAAAUCAAGUUUGAAAAUACAAAACAAAAUUAUCAAAUAUUCAAUAUUGGUUCUAAAUGAGAUGAAGUUAAGUCUUAUCUGUUUCUCUAAUGUUAUCGUCUUAUUACAUGGUGAUCUCACCAGAAAAAAAAAAAAAUCCUCUGAGGUUUUAGUUCCUACUAUUCCACAUUUCAUUCAAACUAAACAAAAGCUGAUGACCAAAAAAAUCUAAAAUUCUUCGCAACAUCAUAUAAAAGCGGGCUAAUCAAUGACCAAAAAACUAUAAUUUUGCACACUUACUAAAACAAUAUGCAGUUAAACAAAAGCCUCAUGUUAAUUAUUAAAGCUUCAAAAUACAUUAUACAACAUAAAAACAAUUUGCAUGCUAACUAAUGAAUGUGGUUGAAAAAAAAUCUAAAAAACAAAGACAUCAGUAAUCUCGAAAUCAUAAGUGUAUAUGUGGAAAUCAAAUUUCUGCCUAUCUUUCAUGAAAAUACAAAUGCAAAAUAGCAAUAUACUUUCGUUAACUUGCUAAUUUCAACAUCCUACUUUCAUGUUUUGCCAUGAAACCAUUGUAAUAAACUUUAAUACCGAAUGAAAAAUAAAUAAUUGCAUGACUACUUUCAUUUGCUUGUCUUUUAAAGCAUGGUAAUGUAACCUGCAUUUUAUUGUCCCUUGGGCAUAAAAUACACUUUAAAAGUAAAAUCCCUAAAAUGAACCCUUAGCCACAGUUAGGUUUGGGAUUAGCAAAACAAAGCAGACAAACCUGGAUACAAAGAACUGCAUGCAAUUUAAGUACCAUGUCUUCACCAUGACAUUACUACAUAUGAGACAUUUUCACAAGCACCUGGUGUGCUUUCCACGUUUCUUACCCACUAUUUAAUUGAAGAACUUCCUUAAAUACUACUUAUAAAACUAAAAUUAUAGUUCCUUUGAGAUCCAAGACACAUGUUUAUGUUUCUAAGAAACAUAACUCAUUCCCGCUCAAAUUCCUCUUAGUUAUACUAUCUUUAUCACCCACUCUUUUUCUUUGGAAAAUUUUGAAAAAAAAAAAGAAACAAAAGAAUGAAUCACAAUCCAAAAGGCCAUUAGGAGUUAGAAACAUAUACACCUUAUCUUCAAACCCGUUGAUUUGUUGCUUAUGUUCUAUCUUUUUCAGUAACCGUUAGAUGCAUCAGAAGGAAAGCAAGUCAGAAGUUAGAGAGACUGAGAAGGAAGUGGCACAGAAUACAACAGAAAAUCGGGUAGUGAUUGAAGUCAUAUGAUGGUGGAAGAGACAUGGUGGUUUGGCUACCGUGUUUUGGGUAUUGGUUUAGAUUAGCAUAGUCGGUGGUCGGGUGUAGUAGUGGAGGUAAGGUGGUGGUUCAACAAAUUUCUAGGGUUUUCAUAGAGACGAGGCAAGAGUAAAUGUAAAUCGAUGGGAGUAGCGAAGGAAUCGGGGGUGUAUUGGAAAACGAAAGCAAAGAUAAUAUGGAGAUAGUUGUAGAUUUCAAACGAUGCUCAACUACACUAAUUGCCCUAAAG
Molecule: long non-coding RNA, 16171 nt
Filed under: Lactuca sativa (garden lettuce)
Lineage: Eukaryota; Viridiplantae; Streptophyta; Magnoliopsida; Asterales; Asteraceae
Description: long non-coding RNA (LSAT_LNC006941)
Source: RNAcentral